ACGAAGGGGGCUAGCGUUGCUCGGAAUCACUGGGCGUAAAGGGCGCGUAUGCGGCCAUUUAAGUCGGGGGUGAAAGCCUGUGGCUCAACCACAGAAUUGCCUUCGAUACUGGGUGGCUUGGGUCCGGAAGAGGUUGGUGGAACUGCGAGUGUAGAGGUGAAAUUCGUAGAUAUUCGCAAGAACACCGGUGGCGAAGGCGGCCAACUGGUCCGGAACUGACGCUGAGGCGCGAAAGCGUGGGGAGCAAACAGGAUUAGAUACCCUGGUAGUCAAGGGCGAAUUCGC
Molecule: ribosomal RNA, 285 nt
Filed under: uncultured Hyphomicrobiales bacterium
Lineage: Bacteria; Pseudomonadati; Pseudomonadota; Alphaproteobacteria; Hyphomicrobiales
Description: uncultured Rhizobiales bacterium partial 16S ribosomal RNA
Rfam family: Bacterial small subunit ribosomal RNA
Source: RNAcentral